CUCCUUUCCCACAGCUAUUUAAGUCUCCCAAGUACCAUAUCACUAUCCCAUAUCUAACCUUCUCUGCGACAGACUACUCUGUCAUUGCCAACUAGCUCAUUAUUCUUGUACCUUCAUCUAGCACUAAAUUCUGCAAGACUUUUAACACUUUAAUGGCUUCUUCUUCAUCAUCAAAAAGGCUCUGGGAGCAUCUUCAAGAGAAACAAGAACCCUUUACAUUAGACAUUUACCUCUCAGAAAGAAGGAUGAUGCAGAGACCAUCAAGGUGCAAUUUAACAAGGAGAAGUAUUUUACACACCAGAAAGAUUCUCAAGUUAUUAUUAUACAAGCUCAUUCGCUCUGAACACAGCCAGAAUGUAUUGGACUGCCGUAAGUCUCACAAAUAUGACCUUAUAUGUAAGACGUCCGAAAAGCUCCUGCAGAGUGGAGGAUCAAAAGGGUAUUCUAGUAGAGGCAGUUCAGUUGCAUAUCAUGAGUCUCUCAAAUGUGGCAUAAAAGAUUCACCUUGUAACAAAUAUCAGGCCACACUUGUUGCCGAGACUUCCCAACCCCAUGAACAUAGCAGUUUCACAAAGCAAGAAGUUUCUACAGAUAUAAACCUUCACUGGGAAUGCGAAGAAGAUGGUAUGAAACUGGGUCCAAGAUCAUUACUAAAUGAAGCCACACCAUCAGACACAGGUAGUAACAAUAAGUUAUUUAGUAACAUUAAGCUAUUUAUCUGAUCAAAUACAAUUCGAAAGAGACUCAGAUAUUUAUUUCUAGUGAACAAUUUGCAAUAAUCCUUCUCACAAUGAACAGGGUAUGACCACCUACCUAACAAAGAAGAAAGUGCACCAACUUCAAGCACCAUUAUUGCGGAGGAAGACUCCAUAUUUUCAGCUUUUCUAACAGAAUUACUAGUGAAGCCACUGGUUGAGAAGCAGAAUCAUGCUGGAUUCAUGGAGCUACAGGAGACAAUUGGUCCAGUUUUUUCUGAGCUUCUGAAAAACAGAACGGUAUUGCAGCAGACUAAGCAGCUUAUUUUUGAUUUUAUUAAGGAAGCCAUAGAAAACCAUCAAAGGAAGAACGGGAAUCAGAAGUCCACUCAGGAAUUCAUGGAUCUAGAAAAGCUUGGAAAAAUCAUCCGUGACAAAAUUUGCCCAUGGGAAAACCAAAAUGCAGCCCAGCACAUAAAUUUUGAUGUCUCUAGCAUAGUAGAAGAAUGGGAUGAUAUACAGCAACUACACAGGAAGAUAGGGAUAGAAAUUGGAGAUGCUAUCAUGGAUGAAAUAAUUCAGGAAGUAAUUAGUUUCUUUUUUUCUGUAAAGUACUGUGUUACUAAUCAGGGCUCUUCUUGAAGUGGAGAACUACGUAUGGUUCAAUACUACAAGUGUUCAAUCACAACCGGCAGCUGAACUAAAAUGAGUUCAGCCAAUGAACCCAAGCUACUGAGCUUCAGUUGUUCAAAUUCUCAAUAUCAUGAGUUAAGAGAUUGGAAAACCAUACCAUAUCCUUAUCAUUGUGUUAACUUGGAACAAAAUUAUUGUAAGCAUUUAGAAAAUAAAUCAAUAUCAGC
Molecule: unclassified non-coding RNA, 1555 nt
Filed under: Hevea brasiliensis (rubber tree)
Lineage: Eukaryota; Viridiplantae; Streptophyta; Magnoliopsida; Malpighiales; Euphorbiaceae
Source: RNAcentral